This 460-nucleotide ribosomal RNA is filed under the name uncultured bacterium. RNAcentral describes it as "partial 16S ribosomal RNA". It matches the Rfam family "Bacterial small subunit ribosomal RNA", at positions 338 to 795 of the family's 1533-position model. The record is from RNAcentral.
CCUACGGGCGGCAGCAGUGAGGAAUAUUGGUCAAUGGGCGAGAGUCUGAACCAGCCAAGUAGCGUGAAGGAUGACUGCCCUACGGGUUGUAAACUUCUUUUAUAUGGGAAUAAAAUGAUCCACGUGUGGGAUUUUGUAUGUACCUUAUGAAUAAGGAUCGGCUAACUCCGUGCCAGCAGCCGCGGUAAUACGGAGGAUCCGAGCGUUAUCCGGAUUUAUUGGGUUUAAAGGGAGCGUAGAUGGGUUGUUAAGUCAGUUGUGAAAGUUUGCGGCUCAACCGUAAAAUUGCAAUUGAGACUGGCGGUCUUGAGUACAGUUGAGGUAGGCGGAAUGCGUGGUGUAGCGGUGAAAUGCUUAGAUAUCACGCAGAACUCCGAUUGCGAAGGCAGCCUACUAACUUCCGACUGACAUUGAAGCUCGAAAGCGUGGGGAUCAAACAGGAUUAGAUACCCCAGUAGUC